CGAAAGCCUGACGGAGCAAGACCGCGUGAGGGAGGAAGGCUCUUGGGUCGUAAACCUCUUUUGUCAGGGAAGAACACAAUGACGGUACCUGAAGAAUCAGCCUCGGCUAACUCCGUGCCAGCAGCCGCGGUAAUACGGAGGAGGCAAGCGUUAUCCGGAAUUAUUGGGCGUAAAGCGUCCGCAGGUGGCUUAUCAAGUCUGCUGUCAAAGAGUGGGGCUUAACCCCAUAAAGGCAGUGGAAACUGAGAAGCUAGAGUGCCGUAGGGGUAGAGGGAAUUCCCGGUGUAGCGGUGAAAUGCGUAGAGAUCGGGAAGAACAUCGGUGGCGAAAGCGCUCUACUGGACGGCAACUGACACUCAGGGACGAAAGCUAGGGGAGCG
Molecule: ribosomal RNA, 380 nt
Filed under: uncultured soil crust cyanobacterium
Lineage: Bacteria; Bacillati; Cyanobacteriota
Description: bacterial SSU rRNA
Rfam family: Bacterial small subunit ribosomal RNA
Source: RNAcentral